CGUGCGGGCGCUGCACGGGGGGGCCCCGCUCGCGCAGACGGGGCGUUCAUUGAGGUUUUAGAAGUCUGCGGAGGCGCCCGCUCCUGCGGUAUCAGGUAAAGUGUUGACAUACUCCAAACCCAUCUUUUUUCUCGGCUUCCCGUGAACGUCAAGGCAUGCCUCUGAACCUCGCGGGUUAAUGCAUCAAGUAUCUGGAAAGCCACCUUUUGCAAAAUUAUAAAUCCUGUAAAUUAAUUUUAAGUUAUAGAAAUUUUAGCUUGCUAUAUAAAAUUUAAGACUAUAACUUCUCUUGAUCUUGUAAAUCUUAAGAUUGUAGGUUUUCCUUAGUCGGUUCUUUCUCGUUCAAGUGACAGUUUCGACUGACUUGGGAACCUACGACCGUUUCUCAUCGUAGGUGCCCCGAAGUGUCUCGGCUGGACUCUUGUAAGCGGUGCUUUGUAGGCUGCAGAACGCAUUGAUUUUUUUUUUCCUGUGCUUUGCUUGUUAUGAAUAAACACUGGCGGCUCCAAGGUGGAUGAGUUAACCCUUUGUCUUAAAAAAUAACCAUUUGGGCAUUUUUUCAGGAUGACCUCAACUUUGUGUAUUUUCUCCAGAAUGUUAAAAUACUUUCAUUUGCUACGUAAUGUUUUAAGCACACUGUUUUCUUGCAAGGAAGCAGGGCCAAGCAAAGUUUGUAAGGUUAUGGUGAACCACAGACCUUGUAGCUGAAAGUGGCCUCAAGGUGACAUGAUCAAACCCUCUUCUGCCAGGAAGAUUUUGAGGAAAGGGAUGGGUGAGAGCCAGAAAGGUCAGGUGGUGUCCCUGUAUUCUGUGACACAGUAUUCUGACGGUAAAUCCUUGCAAAGGUGGACUGUUUUGUGAUUGUGUACACGUUCUCCACAAUUAAAUUCAAAACUAUUUAAAUUAUAUACUCAAGGAAAAAAGCACGUAUACAUAUAUCCCUAGCAAUGUGCGUGACCUUAAAAAAUUAAGUUUUUAAUAUUAAAUAAUGCUUGUGGAUAUAUUGUAAAAAUUCACACUUAGGGUUUGUUUUUUUUGGGGGGGCAAACACAUUAUUGUAAUAGAUUUUGAAAUAAACACUAAAGGUUUCCAUAAUGACUUAACAGUUGUCUCACUUUCACUGUGCUGUGAACAGGCACUGCUGUGCCCAAUGUCCUGGGUGUAGGAACCAGGCGUCCUGGUCCUGCCCAGCGCCACAGGGAGAGUAAGGCCCAUUAGGGCUCUGAUCUUGUUUUUGUGAUGCUAAAAGUCAUGCUGUAUUCAUUCGCCCUGUUUGUAAUAGUAUUUGGCAAGUUUUUAGUCAAAGGUUGGUUGUUUAACAUCAAAAGUGGCAACAAGCCUUCCUAACUUUAGGCACCUUUUCCCUUGCACAGGUAUACUGUGAGAUCAGGUCUCAGGCCUGGCCAGGCUGAGCUCUGUUGCCAGAGCGCUCUUUUCAUUCCAUGUAUUUCCACAGAAAUCACCCUACUGAGAACUUUGUGACUUUGUAACACUUUGAUGGGAUUUUAUAAUAAAAAAAAUUCCAAGUUCUAUUAUAUUGGCUAUAUUUCCAUUUUUUUGAGUGUCUUUUAGUAAGAAGCAACCACAUUGGCACUAAAGUGCUUUUAACAUUGUUUUACCCGCCUUAAAAAUAAAGGGUCUUGACGAAGGGAGCACUUCAGAACUGCCGGGUCCCCAGUGGUUCUGAACCAUAAGCUUUGGGUGGGGCCCGGGUCAGUGCUCUUACUGCGCAUCACAAAUCCUGCUGAUGUCCACUGCAGGCCUGAACCACUCAUCUAAUUCUGAACAUGCAUGGCAGAAAAGACAUUCUUUUUGUUUCCCCUUUUGAAAUGCAGUGUAGAAAAACUUCUUUUUGGUUGAUUUUAACUCUCCAGGAGCCUGAUCACAGGAUUGGGGCUGGAUGGGCAUUAUGAUCUGUUGGGCCAUAUCCUUGUACCCUGCGUGUGUGUGGCUUCUGCAGCUCCCCGGCUGUAAGCCCUGUAUUGAGAUGUACCUAGUGAUGGAGCAUCUGGUGAAUGAAUGCUUUUCCAGUACCACGUAUGGCAAGCAACAUUCAUGUCAUUGUUGCAUUUUUUUAGAACAUGAAUUCAGUGAAAAAACUUGAUCACUUCCCAGGCUGGGUUGUGAACUUCUGACUCCUUAAACAGUGCACUGUGAAGGAGACCCAAAUGUUCCCCAGCGCCCCCACAGCAUAAUAGCUUAUGCUUUAUUAUUACUAAAUAUAGUAAUUAAUGUUUUUGUGAAACUUGCUUAUUUUAUAUAAUUAUGACCCUUUAUAAAAUAAACUUUUAAACCUGAUGUCAUUUGCCGAAUUUUUUUCAUCAUGUGGAAUCAUAACAUCUCAUUGCUGAAUACCAGAUUGCACAAUCCCACACGAUCUUGUUUAAUCUUUACAACAAUCUUGUGAAGUAUAUGGUGGUGUCUUGUUUUUAGGCUUUAAACAGGGUUACUUCUGCAAAGCUAACAAGUGGUAGAACAUUUAGUAAGUUAUUUCUGUUUUCUUCUCUCCUGUCCUUGAGAGAGGGAAACCCUCUUCUUCCCAUCUCUGUGAUUCUAAAUUGAGCCCCACUGCACUAGAUGGCUACCUGGAGAUGCCUCAGCUUCUAUUCAGCUUUAUAUAAAUGGCCUUGGUUCUUCCCGAGAACAGAAAGACCAACCCUGUGGUGGAUGGUGGCACUGGAGCAACAGCUACAACUGAAAGUCAUGCCCCUAGAGCUUCGAACUUGGGGCUUACAGGCCUUAAAAACGUGAUCAAGUUGUACUUAGCUCGAUACUUGGGGCAUGACAGAAAAUUAUUUUCUCAUUAAAAAUGUACCUGGCCUGGGCCUCCCCGGUGGCGCAGCGGUUGAGCGCUGGGUUGCGGUUCGAUUCCCGGCUGCUCCCCGGCCACCGGAGGAGGGUCCCACAUGGCGCGCAGACCUCUCCUGCAUGGCGCGCAGACCUCUCCUGACGCCCACUGCUCCCCUCAGCAGUGUACUUCGGUCCUUCUGCCUGCUCUGCUCCCUGCUCUGGCUCUGGUGAAUUCUCUCACCCUCCCGCGCUUCUGACUCUACCCAGUGCUUGCAUAAAUUAAUAAAUAAAUAAAUCUUUUAAAAAAAAAAAUGUACCUGGCCUUGGUCUCCUGUUUUAGAAAGUGGGCUGCUGGAAAGGGUGUUUGGUUUUUUUUAAAUACUGCCUACUAGAAACUCAAAUCUUGAGUCUGGGAGUUGUUCACUAUCCCAGCACCACCCCAAAGGCUAAUCUACCUGGGACUGCUGACCUUUCACUUGGGAAGUCCAAAAGUUAAAUAGAGGCAUCCUGUGAAUUUCUUAAGAGAUUAUUUCAACCCCACAGCUUGUUCACCACAGGCCAGAAAAUGCUCCUUAACAACCAAAGGUUCCUUUCCCCUUGGGGGAAAAUGGGAUGUUGCACUGAGGCUUCUGGCCUUGGGGAAGUUCUGUGCACUCCGGAACAAGGGUCUAAAGGACAUCAAAUUAUCUGAAUUUCUGCCCUUGCUUCCCCUGCCCCAUCCCAGUUCAGGCCUUCUAUUGCUUUUGUUUCCUGAUCCAACCUGUCUCCACCAGGCUGCCUCCAGACAGCCUGCCUUCAUGCUGCUACCUCGUGUUCUGAAACAGCCUUUCUUAGCCCUGUUCCUACAGUUACUCAAUGAUUCUGCAUUGCUUAGGUCUGCAGUGCAAACAAUUGGUGUAGGUCUGGCAGUUACCUUAAAGAGUAGUAGGCUGCCAUAUAAGCACCGUGUGUUAAAUGGUCCUAGCAAGACCUGAGAGCUCACUACCCACCUAAAGGGGCAGCUUCUCAUCACCUGGAAUGUGGCCCCAGGUAGGUAUCUUGAUUUCUCAAGAGAAGAAAUUAUCUGGAUUUCCGCCCUUGCUUCCCGCGCCCCUUCCCAGAAGUCCAGAUUUAUAAAUGUGAAGUCUGGGGCUUAAAAAUGUUGGCCUUUAAUUUAGUAGCUGUUAAUUUAGUAGCUGUUUUCUUUAACUAUGUAGCAAAUCUGCAUCUCUUAACACAGACCUGAGGUUUAGAACCAGUUUGGGACCUCUGACUACUCAGACCAACAGCUGAGCCAGAGCAACUCAAGUCCUCCACAGGGGUCUGUCCGCCGUGAGAUUAGAGCAUCACUCAGGGUCCUCUUCCAAGAAGAGCGCUGUUGCAUGCAGGGAGAACUUGGAUUCCUUCUAUUAGCAUGUUUUCAUCUUCCACGGAGAGGGAACUUGGCAUGCAGUAAACAAGUCCAUGCCUGGGUUAACUGUACUUGGGGUGGGGGCCUAUUACUCCGGCUCCCAGCCUGCCAGGUGUUUAGCAGGGUUAGGAGGUGAGUGGAGAGUCCCACUAGUUAAGUGUGGCCAGGAUGAUGUGUCUCACCUAGGUCCCCGGCAACGUGAAUGCCACCAAUGCCCACGCUUCACCUGCUGAGGGCUAGGAGUCCUGGUCCAGCCUGAAUGUGGCACUGAUAGUAGUUGGCGUUCCAUUCCCAAAAGCUGGGCACUUGAGUACCCCAAGACUAAGAUCAGAAUGAGGAGCUUGAGUCACUGAUGAUCUUCCUGUUUAAACUGGAAAGUGAUACAGCGAGAGCUCCAAGGAGACCUCUGCACACAAAGGCUCCCUAAACAAAAGCUAGUUUCAGCUUAGAAUUAGGAUAGUGGCAGGAAAGGGGCUGGAUGCAUUUCAUCUGGAGGGGGAUCCAUGGGUUCAGGAUUGCACAUGUGCAUUCUUAGAUUAUGCUGCUUCACACAUUCCAUGUUCAGAGGAUGGCGGGCAAAUCUCAGAGGUAGAGAUCUUACUGUGGUGAGUCUGUGGGUACUGUAGGUCAGUCGGCAAUCCUGUGCGCUUGCACAGUGGUUUAUGCUGGUUCUGCUUGGGGCUCCAGGCUCCCCUGAUGCUGCAAGGAUUCUGCUGUAAAGGUAACUUGACAUACAGUAAGACAGGCAUUUUAUAGGGCAUCUGUAUGUUGCUUGCCCAGGGCAAGAUACUUGAAACUACCACUCAGCUAUUUCGGGAUCCCGAUGGCCAACUCCUUGCUCCCACUCUCCGUCACGCAGACUUGCAGGUCCCCGUAGCAUCACACGCCUCCUAGCUAUACCUUGUGUCCUUCAGUCCUCAGUUUUGUCCACUUGUUUUUCCAGAGAAUAAACAUCCUGUCUCCUGCCUGGACAGGGAGAGGGCCAUCACCUUCCUGUGGCGGGUAGGACUAGGAGAUGUGAUCCUCCACUGGUCCUCACGUCUCCGUCCCACCCUGGCCUUCGCUGGCCCCUGUGCCUCUCCGGGGCAGGAGAGUAACAAGGGAUCCCACCUGCCCGCCCUCUGCUUUAUGUAAAACAGGCCCAGCACGAGGAGCAGCCAUAAGCGGGCAGGACUGAGCCCCUGGCCCCCAGCGAGCAUCUUCCAGGCUUCAGUCACACAGCGG
Talpa occidentalis (Iberian mole) is the source of this 5404-nucleotide long non-coding RNA. RefSeq lists it as uncharacterized. The record is from RefSeq and is a predicted model, not a curated record. Lineage: Eukaryota; Metazoa; Chordata; Mammalia; Eulipotyphla; Talpidae. The transcript has 3 exons.